Molecule: long non-coding RNA, 907 nt
Organism: Exaiptasia diaphana
Lineage: Eukaryota; Metazoa; Cnidaria; Anthozoa; Actiniaria; Aiptasiidae
Exons: 2
Source: RefSeq, a predicted model, not a curated record
CCUACAUAUACCUAACUACACCUACAUAUACCUACCUACACCAAUUUAUUAUACCUGGUCUACCUGUUGAUGAUAUCGCUGAUGCAUAUUACUUAGUGACGAUGCUGAUGACAACACUAACAAUGAUGAUGAUGAUAAUGAUGAUGAUGAUGAUCAAAUCAGGAAGGAAUGCAUGAUGGAUCACAAGUUGGAUMRCAGGUCACACUCUGACGUCAUUGAAAGCCGUAUUAACCGAUGGUUGCGAAUUUAGAAGUGACUGAUACAUAUACAUCUUUGUGGAUAUUAUGUUAGUGUUAGGAUGAAAAGGCUUAGUUUUUUACCAGUUAAUGUUUUAGUUUUUUAAUAAACAAUAUGACAAUUAUGAGAUUCGUUAAUCGCAUUACGAGAGCAAAAAUCCUAGUUACCAAUAUGGCCGCCAUCUUGAAUUCUCUUGUAGUUUGUGAAAGAGACUAUGACAUGCACAGGCUGCCUGCACUUAUCGUGAAUUUUAUAGACUACACGGCUACGGGAACACUAUGAUUGCCUUUUUAUACUAUCAAUGUAAUUAAAGUACAUUUGGAAGUUGAAUAUAAAGGGAGCAUAAGUGUUCAUUAUGAAUAUUUUUGUAACAUUUGCACCACAAAGUUCAAUAUAAUUCAAUAUGGCRACCAUAUCGCGUGAUACCAAAAGAAAAAAAAUAAGUAUAUUUGGCUGUCAAUAGUAAUAACAAUAUCGAUACAAUCAUAAAAUUAUAAUACUUUUCAUAGAUCUGUCCACACAAAUGCGUUUGCAUUUUUUUCCGAAAUUUCGCUGACGAUUACAAAACGCUCGACCAGACGAGCCGAAGAUGUACGUAAUUUAAGACCAACCCCAGACCAAAGUAUCAAAAUACUUGUAAAGACUAAAUGCUAUAAAAAGGCGAACCAAA